GUGCCAUCCGCCGCGGUAAUACGUAGGUGGCAAGCUUUAUCCGGAAUUAUUGGGCGUAAAGCGCGCGUAGGCGGUUUUUUAAGUCUGAUGUGAAAGCCCACGGCUCAACCGUGGAGGGUCAUUGGAAACUGGGGAACUUGAGUGCAGAAGAGGAGAGUGGAAUUCCACGUGUAGCGGUGAAAUGCGUAGAGAUGUGGAGGAACACCAGUGGCGAAGGCGACUCUCUGGUCUGUAACUGACGCUGAGGAGCGAAAGCGUGGGGAGCGAACAGGAUUAGAUACCCCCGUAGUCC
RNAcentral lists this ribosomal RNA (292 nucleotides) under uncultured prokaryote. Its description in RNAcentral is "partial 16S ribosomal RNA". It matches the Rfam family "Bacterial small subunit ribosomal RNA", at positions 505 to 796 of the family's 1533-position model. The record is from RNAcentral.